AAUCACCCGACGCCUCAGCUGCUGUAGUGGUUUCGGGCAUGCCCAUAGAGAGAAGUUUAAGUUCGAGGCCUUGUUAUUAAUAGUUUGGGAACUUCAGCAAUCGUUGUUGCUGAAGUCAGAUGACGAAUUGCACAUUUAUAGUUCUUCUAUGUAUAAAUGCAAGAUCUCGUGUGCUUGACUCCUGCAUAAAAUCAUUUGAGUUUGAGGCCUUGUAUUUAUUUUUAAAAUUCUAUCCACGUACAUGCGGACCCGACAUUCCAAUCCAACCUGAAGGCAGCCUCGAGUUUAGCUUCAAUCCAAGGGAAAUUGGCCGUGUCCUUGCGUGAUUUUUAAGAAAUCACAGCACAUGCAUAGCGCCUACCAGUUACCAUUCUGAAGAUAACCCGAUUACCGGCUCUGGUGAUUGUUGCGAUGCAGUAACAACUUGCAUUUGUUAGCCAAUCUAUGGUUUCAUUGUCCUGCAUUAAUAAAUUCGAGAUAAUAAGAAACUGUAC
This 494-nucleotide long non-coding RNA is filed under the name Phoenix dactylifera (date palm). RNAcentral describes it as "long non-coding RNA (PDAC_LNC000995)". The record is from RNAcentral. Lineage: Eukaryota; Viridiplantae; Streptophyta; Magnoliopsida; Arecales; Arecaceae.